This 467-nucleotide ribosomal RNA is filed under the name uncultured bacterium. RNAcentral describes it as "partial 16S ribosomal RNA". It matches the Rfam family "Bacterial small subunit ribosomal RNA", at positions 29 to 507 of the family's 1533-position model. The record is from RNAcentral.
ACGAACGCUGGCGGCGUGCUUAACACAUGCAAGUCGAACGGAAAGGCCCUGCUUUUGUGGGGUGCUCGAGUGGCGAACGGGUGAGUAACACGUGAGUAACCUGCCCUUGACUUUGGGAUAACUUCAGGAAACUGGGGCUAAUACCGGAUAGGAGCUCCUGCUGCAUGGUGGGGGUUGGAAAGUUUCGGCGGUUGGGGAUGGACUCGCGGCUUAUCAGCUUGUGGGUGGGGUAGUGGCUUACCAAGGCUUUGACGGGUAGCCGGCCUGAGAGGGUGACCGGCCACAUUGGGACUGAGAUACGGCCCAGACUCCUACGGGAGGCAGCAGUGGGGAAUAUUGCACAAUGGGCGGAAGCCUGAUGCAGCAACGCCGCGUGCGGGAUGACGGCCUUCGGGUUGUAAACCGCUUUCGCCUGUGACGAAGCGUGAGUGACGGUAAUGGGUAAAGAAGCACCGGCUAACUACGUG